Molecule: long non-coding RNA, 796 nt
Organism: Mugil cephalus (flathead mullet)
Lineage: Eukaryota; Metazoa; Chordata; Actinopteri; Mugiliformes; Mugilidae
Exons: 3
Source: RefSeq, a predicted model, not a curated record
UGCAGCAAAAGUUGGGAGAAAGCGGCAAAGUCGGGACUUUUUUGAAUAUGACGAGGAGACAGAUAAAAGCAAGUGUGUUGUAGUGGAAACAGACUGUGACAAAAUAUGUGGUUUGCUUCGCAAGGGGAGAAACCCCACGAACCUCAAAGUCCAUUUAAGAAGCUCACACCAGGCGGCUAAUGUCGAGUAGCUACCAAAACAAGCUAGCUCCUGAGAGGCCGCCGCCCCCCGAAAGAGAAGCGACAUCCCGCCCAGGGUAGCACGGUGAAGGAGACAACUAUAAUGGACCGCUUUCACCGACGAGCGAAUAACUGCUGACGCUGUUGUUAUAGUGAGGAGCGAGUGCGCUGGAUUCUCCCUAGGAUUGCUCUUCUGAGAGGCUGCAGUUUAUUACAAAUGGGAAAGCUUUCAUUGCAGAUUGCCCCAGCGCUGCGUAGAGCAUCCCCAUACCUCAGACUCCAACAAUGGCAGUGUGUAUGACACAGUGGAGUGACUCCAGGGUUAGACUGCUGCACCCCAGAGUUAUGCUUAUAACACACCAAAUCACACACUCUCACACACGCACUUCUAUUCCGGGCCAGGUCCACCACCUGUCCUGGCCUGGGCUGCCUUUCCCCCAGCCAAGGAAGCUCAUGCCUGGGCACUCUGGGCAGCAGCCCAGCCUUUCACAUCCAGGUCCAGGGCCAAGAGACAGGGGCCAACAGCUGGCGGUGUGCAGAAGGAGCCUGGAGGCUUCCACAGCAGAUGAAUCACCACGGAUUAAUAUUUAACUCUAGACUCCUGCUUCCCUCAAGCA